This 223-nucleotide long non-coding RNA is filed under the name Prunus persica (peach). Its description in RNAcentral is "long non-coding RNA (PPER_LNC002043)". Lineage: Eukaryota; Viridiplantae; Streptophyta; Magnoliopsida; Rosales; Rosaceae. The record is from RNAcentral.
GGGUUUUGAUUCCAACAAACAUGGAGGUGAGAAAUGUUUGCCACAUCCUCAAGAGUAGGGGUGAAUUCUCCCCAAGAACAAACAAAGGUGUGUGUAAUAAACCGAUCCUAAAUUAAUAUUUAAUUAAUAAAAUAUUCAAGUAAAAGACAAUUUUACCCCGAGAAUAUUUUAAAAGUUUUAAACAUGACUUUUUGGCCAAUUUCGGCUCCUAAUUCUAGCCAUC